This 119-nucleotide ribosomal RNA is filed under the name Peltaster sp. (in: ascomycete fungi). Its description in RNAcentral is "Peltaster sp. (in: Dothideomycetes) partial small subunit ribosomal RNA". It matches the Rfam family "Eukaryotic small subunit ribosomal RNA", at positions 1352 to 1493 of the family's 1831-position model. The record is from RNAcentral. Lineage: Eukaryota; Fungi; Ascomycota; Dothideomycetes.
UAAAUAGCCAGGCCCGCUUUGGCGGGUCGCAGGCUUCUUAGAGGGACUAUCGGCUCAAGCCGAAGGAAGUUUGAGGCAAUAACAGGUCUGUGAUGCCCUUAGAUGUUCUGGGCCGCACG